UACGAGGGGGGCAAGCGUUGUUCGGAAUUAUUGGGCGUAAAGGGUGCGUAGGCGGUUUGACAAGUCUACUGUGAAAUCUAUGGGCUCAACCCAUAGUCUGCAUUGGAAACUGUCGGGCUUGAGUAUGGGAGAGGUGAGUGGAAUUUCCGGUGUAGCGGUGAAAUGCGUAGAUAUCGGAAGGAACACCUGUGGCGAAAGCGGCUCACUGGACCAUUACUGACGCUGAUGCACGAAAGCUAGGGGAGCAAACAGG
Molecule: ribosomal RNA, 253 nt
Filed under: uncultured bacterium
Lineage: Bacteria
Description: partial 16S ribosomal RNA
Rfam family: Bacterial small subunit ribosomal RNA
Source: RNAcentral